This 253-nucleotide ribosomal RNA is filed under the name uncultured bacterium. Its description in RNAcentral is "partial 16S ribosomal RNA". It matches the Rfam family "Bacterial small subunit ribosomal RNA", at positions 524 to 776 of the family's 1533-position model. The record is from RNAcentral.
UACGGGGGGGGCAAGCGUUGUUCGGAAUUACUGGGCGUAAAGGGUGCGUAGGCGGUUCGCUAAGUUGGAUGUGAAAACUCUGGGCUUAACCCAGAGCCUGCAUUCAAAACUGACGGACUAGAGUUCUGGAGGGGGUAGCGGAAUUCCUGGUGUAGCGGUGAAAUGCGUAGAUAUCAGGAGGAACACCGGUGGCGAAGGCGGCUACCUGGACAGAAACUGACGCUGAGGCACGAAAGCUAGGGGAGCAAACAGG